ACCUCCUCGAACACCUUCUGCAGCCAGGAGGCCCCGCCGCCCUCCGCCGCCGCCGCCCGGCUCUCCUCGGCGCGCUCCGGGAGCGUAGUUCAAUGGCUUUCUCUCCCCAGCCCAUGACCUGAUUAGAUUGAAGUUACUAUUUGUGCACACUGAAGGCUCCCUGUCACAAGAGCUGAGAGCAAAACAAUUCUUUCCCAGUAUCCCAGUCAUGAGGAAAGGGGAAGAAAUCAACCUGUUUUAAAAGCAAAGCAGCAGUGAGCAAUUGAGGUUCUUAGGCUGUACAACAGGGCAUCACUGCUGUAGGCUGUGAGUGCGUCAUUAACAUUUCUGAACCACUGCAGCAGUAGCAGGGUGAGCCCCAGGGCAGCACCCAGUGAACUCAGUAUCUGAAAAGGUUUGUGAAAAUUGCUUCAGGGAAGUGUGGAGCUGGGCAAAACACACAGAGGAGAAUAUCCAGUGAUGAAUUUGGUGACAGUAAAAGAUCGGUCACAGAGGUCCCAACUUUAAGCCUAUGAGUAAGUUAUAUUUAGAUUCCCUGCCCUAAAUCCAUUGAUUAUAAUACAAACUAUUUUUUACUUUUUGUAUCAAAAUAUU
Molecule: long non-coding RNA, 594 nt
Organism: Empidonax traillii (willow flycatcher)
Lineage: Eukaryota; Metazoa; Chordata; Aves; Passeriformes; Tyrannidae
Exons: 6
Source: RefSeq, a predicted model, not a curated record